This 104-nucleotide unclassified non-coding RNA is filed under the name Chryseobacterium gambrini. RNAcentral describes it as "Flavo-1 RNA". The record is from RNAcentral. Lineage: Bacteria; Pseudomonadati; Bacteroidota; Flavobacteriia; Flavobacteriales; Weeksellaceae.
UUUUAGCCGCGAUUGAGCGGCGUGUCUGAGCUCUUUUUUGGAUUCGGCGGCUGCUUCGCAGCCGCCGAAUCCAAAAAAAGCGAGUAGCGAAAGCGCGAAACAGC